GCGGAAAUAGCUCAGUGGUAGAGCACCACCUUGCCAAGGUGGGGGUCGCGGGUUCGAAUCCCGUCUUCCGCU
This 72-nucleotide transfer RNA is filed under the name Desemzia incerta. It matches the Rfam family "tRNA". Rfam says of the family: Transfer RNA (tRNA) molecules are approximately 80 nucleotides in length. Their secondary structure includes four short double-helical elements and three loops (D, anti-codon, and T loops). The record is from Rfam by way of RNAcentral. Lineage: Bacteria; Bacillati; Bacillota; Bacilli; Lactobacillales; Carnobacteriaceae.